This is a long non-coding RNA of Orbicella faveolata, 3819 nucleotides long. Lineage: Eukaryota; Metazoa; Cnidaria; Anthozoa; Scleractinia; Merulinidae. The record is from RefSeq and is a predicted model, not a curated record.
CGCUGAUUUCGAAAAUUAACUGUACACUUUCGACCAAUCAGAAAAGAGAUAGUGGGUUCAAUGUAUAAUAACAGGUACAAUGGACCGUUGUUUUCCAAUUUGCUACGUCAGAAUGCCGUCCAUACAAAAAAAAACCGACUGUUGUGCGGAUCUUAGGGGUCAUUUCAAGUUUCCCACGAGUCACGUCAAGCAAUUUAAAAACAAUAUUUACAUAACGACCCUGUUAUGUAUCCCGGAAGUUCUUGCCAAGCGAACAAGAGUUCGACACUGCCGCUCGAAACCGGACUUCAUGAUCCGGUUACAAACAUUUGGCCACAUAUUUCACAAAGAGCUCAAGAGUUGUCGGGACAAUAACAAAGCCGGGAGAAAAUGUGGUCGAAUAUAGGACUGUUAUAUUUGAAGUUGUUUUCAAUAUGGCUGCUGUUGUUUGCUGGUUCAUAUAGAAUACAUUUUGGCAGAUGAGGACAGAGGUUUAGCACGCCCUUCAUACGUCAAAACAGGAAGGCGAUUCACUGAAGGAGAAAGUUUACGAUCACAUUUAUCACAACAACUCGAUGGGCAGUAAAAGGCUGGCCGUUACUGCAUGACGAGUUGAAAUUAAGGAGAUUACGAGCAUUCCAAGGGUUAACAACUUUCACGUGACAAUAUAAAUUUUGCAAAACGCACCGAAAGGAAUAUAUUUCCAGAAUCUGCGGAACUCGAGUUCCGUCUCUUUCAGUCAAAAUCACUAAUCGUUGCAUCUUCAGUUAUUAGCAUCUUAAUGAACUCGUCUCUUCCAGUAGCACUAUUUUUCUUUACUACUUUUUAAUAGCGUUCCAUUCCCAUGAAACUCGACCCAUUUGAUUGCAAAUCUUUCCCUUGUUCUUGGUUGCUAAGAAUCGAUAGACAUUAAGUAGUUACUACUUUCAUGUGAAGCUGAACUGUUUAUUAUGCUGAACAUGGUGGUUUUUGGAACCCAAGUGUGUGAUCAGUGGUCAAUUGUUUCACAUUUUGUAUAUGUUCGUAAAAGCUAAAUACCCGUGGAAGAUUUGAGGCUAAAAGCAAGUCUUCUCAACGCAACUUUAUUAAAAUAAUUGUUAUCAAGGCUGAUUCAUUGCCGUAAAUUUCCGCUUUUCAAUUCCCCGGUUUGUAGACAGGACAGCACAAAUUAUCAUACGCACGUGGGAGACUUAUUAAAAGUCUUGCAUUAUGUGGUUAAAGACAAGUCAUAUUGCAAUUGUAUAGUCGUAAUAAAGCUGGGAAUUCUUUCAGCGACACAUAACUGACAAAAAAUCUUCAACCGAAUCAAUACGCACGAAUUUAUGAAAAAAGUUCCUCGCAAUCAAGCCCACGCAACGCUGCAACGAAGCUAAAACGAAGCUAGAACGCUUCUGAACGGAAGAUCUAAUACAGCGCUGUUUUCAGAUAAGCUCUUCAUAUAAAUAAAUAAAUAUUUCCCUUCAGACUGCCUUGAUUCUUUGCAUGUUAAAACCGACAUUUCGUUUAGCUUCGUUACGUUUUGAGAGCAGUACCCGAAGAGAGAAAACGAGUUGUAAAUUAAACUUUGACAUCUGGCGAUUCAGAGUGCAAUGUCAUCUAAAAUCAUGGAAGUCUUAGUAUCAGAUUUCGACGUCUCGGCGAGUCUCAAAUUGUAUUAUUCUUCACCCAUAAGAUUUAUAGAGCAGGCAUAAUUCGCAGAUGUGGGUAGAGAUUUAGCACGCUCUUCGUAAGUCAAACCCGGAAAAAGAUUCACUGUAGACAGUCGGCAAGAGUAAUUUUAACAUCAUGUUCAUCAUAAACAGCUAAUUCUUCAGUAAAAAGCUACCGUCACAGCAUAUGAGUUGACAGUGGAGAUUAGAUCUAUAUAGAAGGGUUUACAAAUUUUUCGUGACAAUAAUUAAGAAAAUGUGCUGAAAGGAAUGCGUUCCUUUGUCUCCAACUUGUUAAACUUCAAUUGCGACUCUUUCAAAAUCACAAACCGUUACCUCUUUCCCGUAAGCAUCUAAAUAAACUCGUCACUUCCAGUAGCACUACUUUUCUUUUCUGCUUUUUAAUAUAUCGUUCCCUUGUCGUGAAACUAGACAUAUUUGAUGGGAAAUCUUCCAUUUGCUCGCGGCAGUUAUGAGUCGAUUCCAUACAAACAUAAGAACUAUUGCUUUCGUAUGAUGCGCAACUGUGUAUUAUGCUGACGAAGGUGUUCUCAGGAGCCAAGCGUGUUAACAUUAAAAUGAAAGUUAUCGAGCAGUACUCUCGUGUAGUGCUGUUUGUUCCUCGAUAUUUUUACAAAAUGGAAUUUGGGAUUUCUUCCAAUUUUGCGUCUUAAAUGGCUGCGAGAGUGAAAGCUGACUUAACUCCUGUGAUGCGGAACAGUUAUUGCCGGAAGAGAGAAAUUUGCACUUUACUCCUGCCAUAAGCUUUUAAGCACGUUGUUGUUCACAAAGCGCCGCAGUAUUAAUCGAUAACAAGACAUUUUAAAUUCUUCCUCAUCAGUAAGAGGUUUUUUAAAGAUUUAUAAAGUUUGUUUUUCAAUGUUUGUCUUCCGAAAUGAAAUUUGUGAGUUUUCCGAGUGUUGAACUAAGCCGGAAGCAAAUUGAAUGAUUCGGGCAUGUUGUACAUGAGGUGCCACGGUAUUGGCUCAAAAUGUUGUCAUCUUAAAUUGUUCCACGUCAUUUGAAGAUUUUUUUAAGUAGUCUUGAUAGCUUCCGUAACUCAGUGGGCUUAACCCAGGACCGUAGCUAGUAACAGGUUAACAGAGACACUUGGGAAGGAAAGACUUGAUAUUCACCCGGUCAAAUUAAUUCUUUGCUUCAACUUACGUCACACGUACGGAGUCUUAGGACGACACUAACUUUCGAUUUGUUUAUCUUCCAGCACCUUGCCUUAGUGAAGAUCUCAAAUGUUACCUUUGCCACUCGAACAUAUCGUGGGAUGAAUGUGAAAAGAAUAAAAAAGUAGGGGUUUGUUACCCCAACUACGACGACGUCUGCAUCACAAUGCAUCAUAUUGAAAACGAUGACACAGAAAAAGGAUAUAAGGAAGAUUUUGUCAAGAUGUGUGGCCAAGCGCGGUCGUGUACGGACAAAGACUGCCAGAAAAAAUACAAAACUUGUCAAAUAGAUUGUUGUCAUAGCGACUUGUGUAACGUAGCGACAGGGCGAACUCACGUGACAAGCACAAUGCUGGCCACUGUGCUUGCUGUUUUGUUGUGUGUUCUACAAUUGCGUUGUAUUUUCUGAACUUUCUUCUCUCUCAAUUGCGAUUGAUACUGUACAUUGAGGAAAUUGUGCAACAUUUUUCGAUUUGAGUUACGAGGCAGUUUUCCGCGCCCAACUCCUGAAUACGGGUCGAGUCCCACUUGCCCCGCAGCGUAAUGUGAGUCCAAUCAGUGAUUGACUUGAACUAAUACGGUCCAAGAAGCGGCUGAACCGCAUUGAUACUGGAUCAGACUCAACAGAAUCGCACUGAUACGGGUGAAAAAAUGCGGUUGACCCGCAUUGAUACGGGAUCAAACUCGACUGAAUUGCACUAAUACGGGCGGCAAAUGCGGUUUAUCCGAAUUGAUACGGAUCUGAAUCCCAGUAAUACGGGCCAACAUGCGCUUGACCCGCAGAGAUUCUAGAUCGAUCCCAAUCGACGCGCAAUCUUUUUAAUGUUGGAAGAAGUGUACUAAUAUCACCGUCAAUAAACAUUUCCUGAAAGUGUUCUUUUUCACAACGAACGCUAUACGUCAAAAUUUACUUCCUAUUAAGCUGUAAAGUAUUUUUGAUUAAUUGCACUCUGUAAAUGUGAUAUUUUUAUACAAAGGAAUAAACUGGCGGUUAUAUAUUGGCCAUUGACAAA